GAUGAACGCUGGCGGCGUGCCUAAUACAUGCAAGUCGAGCGAACAGACGAAGCUCUUGCUCCUCUUACGUUAGCGGCGGGCGGGUGAGUCCCACGUAGAUACCCGACCUAUAAGGCUGACAUAACUUCGGGAAACCGGAGCUCAUACAGGAUAACAUGUUGAACCGCAUGGUUCAACAGUGAACGAGGGUUUUGCUGUCCCUUAUAGGUGGAUCCGCGUCGCAUUAGCUAGUUUGUAAGGUAACGGCUUACCAAGGCUACGCUGCGUAGACGACCUGUGAGGGUGAAUCGGCAAACCGGAAAUGAGACACCGGCCAGACUCCUAAGGGAGGCAGGAGGAGGGAAAUUUCCGCAAUUGGCGAAAGGCUGACGGCGGAAAGGCGGGUGAGGGAAGAAAGGCUUCGGAUCGUAAAACUCUGUUAUGAUGGAAGAACAAAUGGGUAAGUAACAAUGCACGGCUUGACGGUACCUAAUCAGAAAGCCACCGCUAACUACGUU
RNAcentral lists this ribosomal RNA (497 nucleotides) under uncultured bacterium. RNAcentral describes it as "partial 16S ribosomal RNA". It matches the Rfam family "Bacterial small subunit ribosomal RNA", at positions 28 to 507 of the family's 1533-position model. The record is from RNAcentral.